RNAcentral lists this long non-coding RNA (187 nucleotides) under Chinchilla lanigera (long-tailed chinchilla). Its description in RNAcentral is "lncRNA (ENSCLAG00000022322.1)". The record is from RNAcentral. Lineage: Eukaryota; Metazoa; Chordata; Mammalia; Rodentia; Chinchillidae.
CCUGACUGUCUUUGUUGGGGGUGGUGACAGACUUGCCUGCUGUCCCCAGGCCUUCACAUGCUGAGAUGGAAGACUCAAUGUCAAAAUCUCUUACUUCUUUGGAAUAUAUUCUCAAACACUGGAAAUUAUUCCACCUUCAUAUUUAGAAAGAGAAGUUUAAUACUUUCCUGCACCCAUGAAUGGCCUG